AUUCGAUGCACGCGAAGAGCCUUACCUACUCUUGACAUCCUCAGAAGAGACUGGAGACAGUCUUGUGCCUUCGGGAACUGAGAGACAGGUGCUGCAUGGCUGUCGUCAGCUCGUGUUGUGAAAUGUUGGGUUAAGUCCCGCAACGAGCGCAACCCUUAUCCUUGUUUGCCAGCACUUCGGGUGGGAACUCCAGGGAGACUGCCGGUGAUAAACCGGAGGAAGGUGGGGACGACGUCAAGUCAUCAUGGCCCUUACGAGUAGGGCUACACACGUGCUACAAUGGCGCAUACAGAGGGCGGCCAACUUGCGAGAGUGAGCGAAUCCCAAAAAGUGCGUCGUAGUCCGGAUUGGAGUCUGCAACUCGACUCCAUGAAGUCGGAAUCGCUAGUAAUCGUGGAUCAGAA
This 404-nucleotide ribosomal RNA is filed under the name Vibrio sp. ST-22. Its description in RNAcentral is "bacterial SSU rRNA". It matches the Rfam family "Bacterial small subunit ribosomal RNA", at positions 949 to 1354 of the family's 1533-position model. Lineage: Bacteria; Pseudomonadati; Pseudomonadota; Gammaproteobacteria; Vibrionales; Vibrionaceae. The record is from RNAcentral.